Molecule: RNA transcript, 611 nt
Organism: Carya illinoinensis
Lineage: Eukaryota; Viridiplantae; Streptophyta; Magnoliopsida; Fagales; Juglandaceae
Gene name: transcription factor MYB3-like
Exons: 2
Source: RefSeq, a predicted model, not a curated record
UUUCUCUAGUUUUCUUUCCCUCCCUAGGAAGGGUAGCUGGAAGGAUUAAUUGACUAUUUAAUUUCUCAGUCAACACUCAACAGUAUUAAUUAAGAAAUCAGCUUCCAUGUUUUUAAAUUCUAACUUCUGAUCUCUCUCUGUGAUCUCUCUCUAGCUUGAUCAUCAGCAGACAUGAUAACGAGUGUGGUCUCUCAAAUGGCACCAAAGAGUGAUGGAUCAUCGGCAAAGAAAGUAAGGAACAAAGGAGCAUGGACAGCAGAGGAAGAUCAAAAACUGUCUCAGUACAUUGAAAUCCAUGGAGCCAAGAGGUGGGAAACAGUUGCCGCUGCAGCAGGUUAUAAUAACGUCAUAUCUCUUGAGAUAAUACAUAAUCUGAUCAGUCCACAAGAAAGGAACAAAAAAAAGAAAGUUUGAUUCGAUGCGGGAAGAGUUGCAGACUGAGAUGGCCAAAUUAUCUGAGGCCCAACAUCGAAAGAGGCAACAUUUCAGAUGCAGAAGAGGACUUGAUACUUAGGCUUCAUAAACUACUAGGGAACGGGUAAUUAUUUCUGGAUUAACAGCUUAAAGCUGCUGGAAGAAGUUAAACAUGAUUGUUUUCGCGUUCAAUACCA